AACGCGAAGAACCUUACCUAGAUUUGACAUGCUGGGAAAAGCCACAGAGAUGUGGUGUCCUUCGGGGCCCAGCACAGGUGGUGCAUGGCUGUCGUCAGCUCGUGUCGUGAGAUGUUGGGUUAAGUCCCGCAACGAGCGCAACCCUUGUUCUAUGUUGCCAGCACGUUAUGGUGGGGACUCGUAGAAGACUGCCGGGGUCAACUCGGAGGAAGGUGGGGACGACGUCAAGUCAUCAUGCCCCUUACGUCUAGGGCUGCACACAUGCUACAAUGGGCGGUACAGAGGGCUGCUAAACCGCGAGGUGGAGCCAAUCCCUAAAACCGCUCUCAGUUCAGAUUGCAGGCUGCAACUCGCCUGCAUGAAGUUGGAGUUGCUAGUAAUCCCGGAUCAGCACUGCCGGGGUGAAUACGUUCCCGGGCCUUGUA
RNAcentral lists this ribosomal RNA (425 nucleotides) under uncultured Actinomycetes bacterium. Its description in RNAcentral is "bacterial SSU rRNA". It matches the Rfam family "Bacterial small subunit ribosomal RNA", at positions 958 to 1385 of the family's 1533-position model. Lineage: Bacteria; Bacillati; Actinomycetota; Actinomycetes. The record is from RNAcentral.